This 330-nucleotide long non-coding RNA is filed under the name Gallus gallus (chicken). RNAcentral's name for it is "lncRNA (ENSGALG00010019541.1)". The record is from RNAcentral. Lineage: Eukaryota; Metazoa; Chordata; Aves; Galliformes; Phasianidae.
GUAGCGGACGUUGUAUGGUUCGGCCGUGCCGUCCCGGCUGAGCCGAGCGGGGCGGUGUCACUGCGGCCUCCCCCGGGGCUGCUGCCCAUGCACCCAAACGUGCUCGCAGUGACCUCGCGAAGGAGUCCUGAAGUGUGCGGGCAGGAAGAGGGCAACUGGGAAAUCGUGAGAGCCCUUACGGCUGCUGGGUGCCUCAGGGCGGCGUUGGGAAGAACGCGGCGUGAGUUUUCUUCCAGAUGCACCAUCAGCCAUUUCCAGCACACCAUAAGAGCCCCGUGGCUCCCACGGCCUCCUUGGGCAACCUGUGUUCACCGCACGGCUUCUGUGGGA